Molecule: ribosomal RNA, 253 nt
Filed under: uncultured bacterium
Lineage: Bacteria
Description: partial 16S ribosomal RNA
Rfam family: Bacterial small subunit ribosomal RNA
Source: RNAcentral
UACGUAGGUGGCGAGCGUUGUCCGGAUUUACUGGGCGUAAAGGGAGCGUAGGCGGAUUUUUAAGUGAGAUGUGAAAUACUCGGGCUCAACUUGAGUGCUGCAUUUCAAACUGGAAGUCUAGAGUGCAGGAGAGGAGAAUGGAAUUCCUAGUGUAGCGGCGAAAUGCGUAGGGAUUAGGAAGAACACCAGUGGCGAAGGCGAUUCUCUGGACUGUAACUGACGCUGAGGCUCGAAAGCGUGGGGAGCAAACAGG